GCGGUGGAUGAUGUGGAUUAAUCGAUGCAACGCGAAAACCUUACCUACCUUGACAUGUCCGGAAUCCCGAAGAGAUUUGGGAGUGCUCGCAAGAGAAUCGGAACACAGGUGCUGCAUGGCUGUCGUCAGCUCGUGUCGUGAGAUGUUGGGUUAAGUCCCGCAACGAGCGCAACCCUUAUCAUUAGUUGCUACGCAAGGGCACUCUAAUGAGACUGCCGGUGACAAACCGGAGGAAGGUGGGGAUGACGUCAAGUCCUCAUGGCCCUUAUGGGUAGGGCUUCACACGUCAUACAAUGGUCGGUACAGAGGGUUGCCAAGCCGCGAGGUGGAGCCAAUCCCAGAAAGCCGAUCGUAGUCCGGAUUGUUCUCUGCAACUCGAGAGCAUGAAGUCGGAAUCGCUAGUAAUCGCGGAUCAGCAUGUCGCGGUGAAUACGUUCCCGGGUCUU
This 446-nucleotide ribosomal RNA is filed under the name uncultured Thiobacillus sp. RNAcentral describes it as "bacterial SSU rRNA". It matches the Rfam family "Bacterial small subunit ribosomal RNA", at positions 929 to 1382 of the family's 1533-position model. The record is from RNAcentral. Lineage: Bacteria; Pseudomonadati; Pseudomonadota; Betaproteobacteria; Nitrosomonadales; Thiobacillaceae.